AGCAGCCGCGGUAAUUCCAGCUCCAAUAGCGUAUAUUAAAGUUGCUGCAGUUAAAAAGCUCGUAGUUGAAUUUCGGGACCGAUAUAUCGGUCGUGCCUCGGUACGUACUGGUAUUUUCGGUUUCUCCCUUCUGACGAACCUUGAUGUCAUUAAUUUGGUGUCUUGGGGAAUCAGGACUGUUACUUUGAAAAAAUUAGAGUGUUUAAAGCAGGCUCACGCUUGAAUACAUUAGCAUGGAAUAAUGAAAUAGGACGUUUGAUUCUAUUUUGUUGGUUUCUAGGAUCGACGUAAUGAUUAAUAGGGAUAGUUGGGGGCAUUAGUAUUCAAUUGUCAGAGGUGAAAUUCUUGGAUUUAUUGAAGACUAACUACUGCGAAAGCAUUUGCCAAGGAUGUUUUCAUUAAUCAAGAACGAAAGUUAGGGGAUCGAAGACGAUCAGAUACCGUCGUAGUCUUAACCAUAAACUAUGCCGACUAGGGAUCGGAUGAUGUUAAUUUUUAAUGACUCAUUCGGCGCCUUACG
Molecule: ribosomal RNA, 520 nt
Filed under: uncultured Glomus
Lineage: Eukaryota; Fungi; Glomeromycota; Glomeromycetes; Glomerales; Glomeraceae
Description: SSU rRNA
Rfam family: Eukaryotic small subunit ribosomal RNA
Source: RNAcentral